CCCUGCCAUUUGUACACACCGCCCGUCGCUACUACCGAUUGAAUGGCUUAGUGAGACCUCCGGAUCGAGCAUUGCAGCUCCGCAAGGGGCAGCAUGCUUGAAAAGCUGGUCAAACUUGGUCAUUUAGAGGAAGUAAAAGUCGUAACAAGG
This 150-nucleotide ribosomal RNA is filed under the name uncultured eukaryote. RNAcentral describes it as "partial small subunit ribosomal RNA". It matches the Rfam family "Eukaryotic small subunit ribosomal RNA", at positions 1651 to 1799 of the family's 1831-position model. The record is from RNAcentral.